RNAcentral lists this ribosomal RNA (492 nucleotides) under uncultured bacterium. RNAcentral's name for it is "partial 16S ribosomal RNA". It matches the Rfam family "Bacterial small subunit ribosomal RNA", at positions 29 to 507 of the family's 1533-position model. The record is from RNAcentral.
AGUGAACGCUGGCGGUAGGCCUAACACAUGCAAGUCGAACGGCAGCACAGUAAGAGCUUGCUCUUACGGGUGGCGAGUGGCGGACGGGUGAGGAAUACAUCGGAAUCUACUUUUUCGUGGGGGAUAACGUAGGGAAACUUACGCUAAUACAGCAUACGACCUACGGGUGAAAGCAGGGGAUCUUCGGACCUUGCGCGAUGGAAUGAGCCGAUAUAGGCUUAGCUAGUUGGCGGGGUAGAGGCCUACCAAGGCGGCUAUACGUAGCUGCUAUGAGAGGAUGAUUAGCCACACUGGCACAGAGACACGGUCCAGACUCCUACAGGAGGAAGCAGUGCAGAAUAUUGCACGAAGGGGGCAAGGCUGAUCCAGCCAUACCGCGUGAGGGCAGAAGGAGUUCGGGUUGGAGAGCCCUUUUGUUGGGAAAGAAGUACAGCUCGUUAAUCCCCCACGAUUAUGACGGUACCCAAAGAAUAAGCACCGGCUAACUUCGUG